RNAcentral lists this transfer RNA (71 nucleotides) under Paradisaea raggiana (Raggiana bird of paradise). Its description in RNAcentral is "tRNA-Leu". It matches the Rfam family "tRNA". From Rfam's summary of the family: Transfer RNA (tRNA) molecules are approximately 80 nucleotides in length. Their secondary structure includes four short double-helical elements and three loops (D, anti-codon, and T loops). The record is from RNAcentral. Lineage: Eukaryota; Metazoa; Chordata; Aves; Passeriformes; Paradisaeidae.
ACUUUCAAAGGAUAAUAGCAAUCCGAUGGUCUUAGGAACCAGAUAUCUUGGUGCAAAUCCAAGUGAAAGUA